This 118-nucleotide ribosomal RNA is filed under the name Beta vulgaris subsp. vulgaris (sugar beet). Lineage: Eukaryota; Viridiplantae; Streptophyta; Magnoliopsida; Caryophyllales; Amaranthaceae. The record is from RNAcentral.
GGGUGCAAUCAUACCAGCACUAAUGCACAGGAUCCCAUCAAAAUUCCGGAGUUAAGCAUGCUUGGGCGAGAAGGUACUUGGAUGGGUGACCUCCUAGGAAGUCCUCGUAUUGCACCCC